GAUGAAGAACGUAGCGAAAUGCGAUAAGUAGUGUGAAUUGCAGAAUUCAGUGAAUCAUCGAAUCUUUGAACGCACAUUGCGCCCCUUGGUAUUCCAUGGGGCAUGCUUGUUCGAGCGUCAUUUAAACCUUCAAGCUAAGCUUGGUGUUGGGUGACUGUCCGCUUCACGGCGGACUCGCCUCAAAAUUAUUGGCGGCCGGUACAUUGGCUUCGAGCGCAGCAGAAACGCGAACUCGGGCCCGUCGUAUUGGCUCCCAGAAGCUAUCUUCACAAUUUUGACCUCGGAUCAGGUAGGGAUACCCGCUGAACUUAAGCAUAUCAAUAAGCGGAGGA
Molecule: unclassified non-coding RNA, 332 nt
Filed under: soil metagenome
Description: partial contains 5.8S ribosomal RNA, internal transcribed spacer 2, and large subunit ribosomal RNA
Rfam family: 5.8S ribosomal RNA (bases 1-120)
Source: RNAcentral